Molecule: ribosomal RNA, 465 nt
Filed under: Vreelandella stevensii
Lineage: Bacteria; Pseudomonadati; Pseudomonadota; Gammaproteobacteria; Oceanospirillales; Halomonadaceae
Description: partial 16S ribosomal RNA
Rfam family: Bacterial small subunit ribosomal RNA
Source: RNAcentral
CCUACGGGUGGCAGCAGUGGGGAAUAUUGGACAAUGGGCGAAAGCCUGAUCCAGCCAUGCCGCGUGUGUGAAGAAGGCCUUCGGGUUGUAAAGCACUUUCAGUGGGGAAGAAAGCCUUGGGGCUAAUACCCUCGAUGAAGGACAUCACCCACAGAAGAAGCACCGGCUAACUCCGUGCCAGCAGCCGCGGUAAUACGGAGGGUGCGAGCGUUAAUCGGAGUUACUGGGCGUAAAGCGCGCGUAGGCGGUCUGAUAAGCCGGUUGUGAAAGCCCCGGGCUCAACCUGGGAACGGCAUCCGGAACUGUCAGGCUAGAGUGCAGGAGAGGAAGGUAGAAUUCCCGGUGUAGCGGUGAAAUGCGUAGAGAUCGGGAGGAAUACCAGUGGCGAAGGCGGCCUUCUGGACUGACACUGACGCUGAGGUGCGAAAGCGUGGGUAGCAAACAGGAUUAGAUACCCUGGUAGUC